RNAcentral lists this long non-coding RNA (286 nucleotides) under Fukomys damarensis (Damara mole-rat). Its description in RNAcentral is "lncRNA (ENSFDAG00000033091.1)". Lineage: Eukaryota; Metazoa; Chordata; Mammalia; Rodentia; Bathyergidae. The record is from RNAcentral.
CAAUGUCAUUAUAAUAUCAUCGUUGAUUCCAUUGAGUUCUUUGUCCCCAGCUUUCUUUCCCUUGUACCUUCCUGGUGUUGCUUGGCCCAGGUAUCUCAAUCUAGUUCAACAUGGAAACUGCUGCAGAGCCUUCAAUGGAAUGAAGAAAGUUACCAAAGAAGAGGAAGAAGUAGACGAAGUUUGAGCUCAGGUGCCCUUGUAGAAAAAGCUUUCUCCAUUCAGAAUUACACUCAGAAACACGAUGAUAAAGAGCAAGACUAACCCUUGCUAGAAUAAACAUGGGCAA